RNAcentral lists this ribosomal RNA (1280 nucleotides) under Perisphaerus sp. 3 ZQW-2023b. RNAcentral describes it as "16S ribosomal RNA". The stretch from base 1030 to 1188 matches the Rfam family "Archaeal large subunit ribosomal RNA", at positions 2542 to 2701 of the family's 2987-position model. Lineage: Eukaryota; Metazoa; Arthropoda; Insecta; Blattodea; Blaberidae. The record is from RNAcentral.
UUAAUAAUAUUUUAUUAUAGAAUAUAUUCCGUUUUAAAAUAAAUUUGUUGAUAAAUUAUUUUUUUUGUUAGUGUACUAAUUAAUGAUUUAAUUGUUUUAAUUAUAGUAGAAUUGUACUGUAGAGGUGUAAAAGGAUAAAUUUAUUUAUAAAGUUAAAAUUUUUUUGUACCUUGUGUAUCAGGGUUAAUUAAAAGUAAGUUAUUUAAAUUUUAACUGUCUUGAUUCCAUUAGAGUUAAUAAAUUAAUUGAGUUAUUGUUUUAUAAAUAUUUAAAAUGAUUUAUUAGUAGUGAAAUGCUAUUCGUUUAUGGGGAUAUCUAGUUUUCUUGGAAAUAAAUUUAAUUUACAUAUUUUUGAAGUUAUUUGUUUAAUAUGACUAUUAAGGGGGAUAAUCUCUUUAAUAAAAGUUUACAAGAUUUUUUAUAUUUAAAAAUUUUAUGAAUUUAAGAAUAGUUAUUAAUAUAAGUUUGUUUUAAUUUAAAUUUGUUAUUAAUUUAAUUUGUAUAUCUUUAAUAUUUUACUGGAAAGUUUUAUUUAAUUUUUAAUUAGUUUUUAUAAUGAUUAAAUUAGUAUAAUAUUUAUUAUUAGUUAUAAAUUAAUUUUAGGAAUUAGGCAAAAUUAAUUAUUCGCCUGUUUAUCAAAAACAUCUUUUUUUGAAUUUAAUAUAAAAUAUGACCUGCCCAAUGAUGAAUUUAAUUUUAAUGGCCGCGGUAUUUUGACCGUGCAAAGGUAGCAUAAUAAUUAGUCUUUUAAUUGAAGGCUGGAAUGAAUGGUUGAGCGAGAUAAAAUCUGUCUCGAAUUAAUGAAUUUGAAUUUAAUAAUUAAGUAAAAAAGCUUAAAUUUGUUUAUGGGACGAUAAGACCCUAUAGAAUUUGAUAAUUUUAUUUAUGAUUUAGUUUGGAAUCUAAUUAAUUAAUUAAAUUAUUUGAUUGGGGUGAUAAUGAGAUAAAAAUAACUCUUGUUUUAUUAUAAAUAUAUAUAUAUAUAUUAUUGAUCCAAUUAUAUUGAUUAUAAGAUUAAAUUACCUUAGGGAUAACAGCAUAAUCCUUUUUAAGAGUUCUAAUUGACAAGAGGGGUUGUGACCUCGAUGUUGGAUUAAGAUAAGAUUUUUGUGUAGGUGCUUAAAAUCUAGGUCUGUUCGACCUUUAAUUUCUUACAUGAUCUGAGUUCAAACCGGUGUGAACCAGGUUGGUUUCUAUCUAUGAAAGUAUUAUAAAUAUCUUAGUACGAAAGGACCAGUUAUUUGAAAUAAUUUCUGUUUGUUUGAUUUUAAUUAAAUAUA